UGUUGCUUGCAAGGGCGUAUGGUGGAUGCCUUGGCAGACAGGACCGAUGAAGGACGUUUGAGGCUGCGAUAUGCCUCGGGGAGCCGCCAACAGGGCUUUGAUCCGAGGAUUUCCGAAUGGGGGAACCCACCGACCGUCAUGGGUCGGUACCGGCUUCGGCCGGGGGGUACGCAGGGAAGUGAAACAUCUCAGUACCUGCAGGAAAGGAUAUUCCGUGAGUAGUGGCGAGCGAAAGCGGAUGAUGGCCAAACCUUGCGCGUGUGAUACCCGUCGGGGGUUGCGCGCGGGGUGUUGCGGGAUCGCGUGCGCCGGCUCCGACGGGCCGGCCGGCAGUUGCAGAAAACCAUGUGUCAGGGGAACCGGGUUGAAUACCGGGCCGCAGAGGGUGAGGGCCCCGUACCUGAACGCGCAUGGUCUGCCGAUCGCGUCUCCCAAGUAGCACGGGUCCCGUGGAACCCCGUGCGAAUCCGCCCAGACCGUUGGGUAAGCCUGAAUAUUCCUGUCUGACCGAUAGCGAACGAGUACCGUGAGGGAAAGGUGAAAAGUACCCCGGGAGGGGAGUGAAACAGUCUCUGAAACCGUGCGCCUACAAUCCGUCGGAGCCCUUUUGUGGGGUGACGGCGUGCCUAUCGAAAAAUGAGUCUGCGAGUCAGUGGCAUGUGGCGAGCAUAACCCGUGUGGGGUAUGCGUAGCGAAGGCGAGUCUUAAAAGGCGUUUGAGUCGCGUGUCCUGGACCCGAAGCGGGAUGAUCUAGCCCUGAGCAGGUUGAAGCGCGGGUAAGACCGCGUGGAGGACCGAACCCACCUGGGUUGAAAACCGGGGGGAUGACUUGGGGCUAGGGGUGAAAGGCCAAUCAAAUUCCGUGAUAGCUGGUUCUCUCCGAAAUGCAUUUGGGUGCAGCGUCGGGUCAUUACGUCCCGGGGGUAGAGCUACUGGAUGCUUGCGGGCCCGUAUCGGGUACCAACAGCAACCAAACUCCGAAUACCGGUGACGCGUAUCCCGGCAGUGAGUCGGCGGGGGAUAAGCUUCGUCGUCGAAAGGGAAACAGCCCAGACCGUCGUCUAAGGUCCCGAAGCGUGUGCUAAGUGGGAAAGGAUGUGGAGUCGCAUAGACAGCCAGGAGGUUGGCUCAGAAGCAGCCACCCUUGAAAGAGUGCGUAACAGCUCACUGGUCUAGUGGUUCCGCGCCGACAAUGUAGCGGGGCUCAAGCACACCACCGAAGACGCGGCAGUAUUUUGUACUGGGUAGGAGAGCGUCCCAUGAGGGGCGAAGCGGCCGUGUGAACGCGCCGUGGACUUCAUGGGAGUGAGAAUGCAGACAUGAGUAGCGAGAGACGGGUGAAGAUCCCGUCCGCUGGAUGACCAAGGGUUCCAGGGCCACGUUCAUCGUCCCUGGGUGAGUCGGGUCCUAAGGCGAGGCCGACAGGCGUAGUCGAAUGGAUGAACGGGUCGAUAUUCCCGUACCGGCUUUCAGCCGCCAAAACCGAGGCUUGGAGUACUAACCUCCGGGUCCGGGCUUACUGCUCCUUCGGGGGCGGGAUGCCCUGGCCUGUUGGGACCGAUCCUUGUAGUAGGUCAGCGCAGGAGUGACGCAGAAGGGUAGCCGGCCGCGGAGGUGGUCUUCCGUGGUCAAGCACGCAGGGCGUGGGACAGGCAAAUCCGUCCCGCAUGGGUCCGAGGUGCGAUGAUGGGGGCCUUAUGGCCCGAUAUCCGGUGAUCCCGGCUGCCGAGAAAAGCUUCGGCGUCAGGCUCAAAGCCGCCCGUACCCCAAACCGACACUGGUGGUCAGGUAGAGAAUACCAAAGCGAUCGAGCGAAUCCUGGUCAAGGAACUCGGCAAAUCACUCCCGUUCCUUCGGUUUAAGGGAGACCCCCGAUGGUGAACACACUUGCUGUGGGAGCUUUUGGGGGUGGCACAGACCAGGGGGUAGCGACUGUUUACCAAAAACACAGGUGCAUGCGAAGGCGCAAGCCGCUGUAUAUGCACUGACGCCUGCCCGGUGCCGGAAGGUUAAGAGGAUCCGUCAGCCUUCGGGUGAAGCGGUGAAUUCAAGCCCCGGUAAACGGCGGUGGUAACUAUAACCAUCCUAAGGUAGCGAAAUUCCUUGUCGGGUAAGUUCCGACCUGCACGAAUGGCGUA
Molecule: ribosomal RNA, 2138 nt
Filed under: human gut metagenome
Description: bacterial LSU rRNA
Rfam family: Bacterial large subunit ribosomal RNA
Source: RNAcentral